Non-coding RNA from Macaca mulatta (Rhesus monkey), 236 nucleotides. The record is from RefSeq and is a predicted model, not a curated record. NCBI's taxonomy places the organism in Eukaryota, Metazoa, Chordata, Mammalia, Primates, Cercopithecidae.
AAGCGGCUCUGGAGGUGCGGCUGCAGGCUGUGGAGCGCGACCGGCAGGACCUCGCUGAACAACUCCAGGGGCUCAGCUCAGCCAAGGAGCUACUAGAGAGCAGUCUGUUUGAAGCCCAACAACAAAUUCUGUGAUAGAGGUCACCAAGGGGCAGCUGGAGGUCCAGAUUCAAACUGUCACUCAAGCCAAGGAAGUAAUCCAAGGGGAAGUGAGGUGCCUGAAGCUGGAACUGGACA